AUACGGAGGGGGUUAGCGUUGUUCGGAAUUACUGGGCGUAAAGCGUACGUAGGCGGACUGGAAAGUUGGGGGUGAAAUCCCGGGGCUCAACCCCGGAACUGCCUCCAAAACUUCCAAUCUAGAGAUCGAGAGAGGUGAGUGGAAUUCCAAGUGUAGAGGUGAAAUUCGUAGAUAUUUGGAGGAACACCAGUGGCGAAGGCGGCUCACUGGCUCGAUACUGACGCUGAGGUACGUAAGCGUGGGGAGCAAACAGGAUUAGAAACCCUAGUAGUCC
RNAcentral lists this ribosomal RNA (274 nucleotides) under uncultured bacterium. RNAcentral's name for it is "partial 16S ribosomal RNA". It matches the Rfam family "Bacterial small subunit ribosomal RNA", at positions 523 to 796 of the family's 1533-position model. The record is from RNAcentral.